CAUACACACACACACACACACACACACACAUACACACCCCAAACAAAAACAUAAAAGCCAAACUCAUAAAAAACUCUAUCAACCAAUGGGCCUCAAGUUACUCUUUUCUUACAUGUACACACUUUCUUAACUUCCUUCUCCCUUCUUUUCCUUUCCAUUAUUUCUUCCUUUUCCCUUUUCCUCUCUUCCAAUGCAUGCUUAAUUAUCUCCAGAAAAAUCUUUCUCUGUUAUUGCUCAUUUUCCACCCCAACUAUAAGUUAAAAAUUAUUCUUAUCAUUAUUGAUGAAAACAAAGUUAACAUUAGGGAAUACCAGUAAUAAGGGAAGGGAAAGGCACUAGUUUUAAAACUUAACGUAACUGUACAGCUAAUGCAUGUUGUUACAUAUUCAAGUGAAAUUAGGAUCUAAUAGAGAACUGGUGGUAACCAUCUCCAAAGACCUUGAAAAAGCUCAGCAGUCCUUUUCAGAAUGCUCAUAAACAUCUUAUCAUCUUUGUUUCGUCAUCCAAUUAAAUCUAUUAUACCUAGAGCAUUUAAGAGUAGUAAACUAUCUUUUAUUCUAUUUGACUUUCCAUUUUCUUUAAUUACUACUAUGAAACAGUGUUGUUUAUUGCUAUAUUUCAUUGCAAAUAUUUCAGAUAUGUUAUAAGCCUAAAUUGAGCUUUUGUACAUUCUUUUUUUUUUCAGGAUAAACCUAAUCUUCAUUUAUUACUUCUAGGGUAAUACUCAUCUUAAGUUUCAAAAAUAUGACAUGUAAAUAAACACUGGGGAAACAACUCACUAUAAAUUGGCAAUUUUCUGUGUGGUGAAUAAACAGAAAUACCAUAAGACAUACUCUCCUAUAUUCACAGACUUCAUUUAGUUAGUAAGAUUAGGUCAAAUAUGUGGGUGUGAAUUUAAAUCAAAUUUCUAGCUUAAUAUAGAAUUACAGAAAUUCAGUAGUAUCUCAACUUAAUUGAUAUCUCAUUAUUUUAGUCAUAUGUUCUCAUUUUUCAUUUUAAAUUCAAUUUCUUUUAUGCCUGAAGUUCGGAUUCCAAUGUUUUAAAGGUUAGAUUCAUGACUCUAUGCUAAAUAGAAGGGCAUACUGGAUUUGUUUCUCUUUUGGAUAGGGUUGGGAGUGGUGUCUGGCAAAAUGCCUUUUCCAUUAAAUAAUAAAAUAAGAAAAAUUUAUUAUUGCUGAUGAAUUCAGGGAGUUUGCUUACUGGAAGUAGUCAAGUAGUCUGAUACAGAAAUACACAUUGCAGUAAGAACCAUAACAUUGCUAGGUUUGUAAUAUAAGAGCUGCUAAAUAUAUUUUGAAUAUCACAAAGACUGCAUUUCUUGCCUGGAGCAUACUCUUUGUUAUACUCUCCGUCUCAUACUCUUAUCUUUUUCAUGAGGAGCAGUGAAUCUCAAUAAAAUCUAUGGAUUGUGUUAUGUUUAAAGGCUCCUAACUGAACCAAUAUGUUCACAGAUAGGAUCAACAAUAUAAGUGUAAACCUUUGAAAUUUAGAUGGAAGUGGAAGCUGCCUAAUAAAACUCUGGUGCUGAAUUUUAUACAACAUAUACCAGUGUUUUAAUUUUGUAUUCAGGUCUCAAAGGACUAGAAGACAAACUGAACACAUCUGCAAUUUUCUGGAUUAAACUAUUAUAGUUUUAUGUAAAAACUCUGAAUGAACUUAAGGUUUAUGUAUUGUAAAGGCAUUGUGUAAUGGUUAUUCAUUUCAUUUCUUUGUUAAGAGCCUUUAUCUAAUGUUGAAAUUUUGAAUUAAAAGUUUUAUGUUUACACCUAUUUAGUUGGAUCAUUAGUUCAAGAUGCAGACUAAGGAAGCUAGAUAGUUAUAAAGUAUGUUUCAUUCAACAUUUUUUUAGAGCAUUGGUAUCUAACGCUGUAUUUGUAAGACCAUCAGUUAUCAAGCCAUGUAAGUGCUCAAUUCCUUUUGAAGCUUUCGAGGGGUAUUAUAAUUAAGUUUUCAGAAUUGCUUUAGGAUCAUACAAUUCUUUUGUGCUUUAUUUUCAUUAACAAAAUAGUAAUUAAAAUUAAAUUUUAAAAGAAAUAACCACAGUAGGUCAUACGUUUAUUAACUUGAGGUAGAUAAUGAACCUGUCCUAUAUAAAGACUGAGCUAAAUCUGCUGAGAGGCUGUGGAUAGUGUAUUUUAAUUAAGGUAAUCCUUAUUUGCAUCUAACAAACAGCAUUGCUACUUAGACAUUUAAGACCCUAGUGAUGCAUAUUAGUACAUUACCUCAACAUAUCUAAUAGAGAUUUAAUACUUGUGUUUUAAGGAGCAAUUUGUCAUAAAUUAAGAGUAUUUGCAUAGUAAAUUUCAAGGAUAUUAUUCUUUUCAGAGUUUUCUAUAAUUAAGCAACACAUUAAACAUUAAAAUUUUAUAAUUUUGUAGUGCUAGGAAUGCUUACUUUGUUAUUAAACUGAGCCUCAUUUUCAGCUGCACAUAACUCUAUGGAAAAAUUCUAUUUUAAUAAAGACAUAAUGAACAUACUGUCACUAAGAUUUUUUUCCUCUUAAAUCUGAGUGAUGGCCUACGUGUUUAAAGAAUGUUUUAGCAUGCAAAAUGCAACUCAGAAGACAUUCAUUCAGUUGGAUGGAGAGUAUUUAAUCAUUUAAAAAGGAGACCAAAGAGACUUAUCCCAACCAUACUGCUAAAUACUUAUGAGCUUCAUCAUAUAUAAAUUAAGUGUUCUCUAAUUGGGAGUAUGGAUAGAAUCUUUCUUUAGUCAAUUAAGUGUUUAUAGUAUUAGUAUCUAUUUUAGUUAGUUAGAGUAAAGGAAUUAAAAAGACCAUUUUAAUUAAGAAUGACAACUUUAUUCUCAAGGUCCUUUUUAUUUUGAUGGUUAACAGGAUAAUUUUAGCAUUUGCAUCUUAUUGAUCCAGAGAGAACGAUUUUAUGAAAUAUACCUUAGAAAUAAGGCUCAACAGUUGAGUUCACCUGUGGUCAUGUAGAUUUGACUUGUCGUGAAGGCCUCUGUCACUUAGACAUCUUUACGUGGGAGAAACUUAGGUAGGGCAUGAAGGGCAAGAUUCCUUUCCUACAAAGAAAUAAUUGAUACCUUGUUCAGCUUACUUUAGACUUCUGUGUGUUCUUUGUGCUCAUCAUCUUCUCCCAUAAACUAACUAACUCCCUUUGCCUUUCCAACCAAGAGAAAAAGAUCUAGAAAAUGUUUUCCCUCAGUAUCUAGAGAGUUCAUUUCAUUGGCUCCCCUUGCUUGUAGCAGUUUAAAAGAUUCCCCACAGCAGGGAAUGCAAGUGUUUCACUCAAUGAGUGUGAUGUUUCAAAGAACUAAAUUCAAAUUAUAUGGGUGUGGGUGCUCUAUAUGUGGUCAUUUUUAGUUCAGUUUUGCAUCAGUUUUAAUAACAAUGUUAAAAUAUUUAGAUACUUAGUUGUAUCAUGUUGGAGCCAAUAUAGAAGGUAUUAUUUCAAAUUGUUUUACAAAUAAGAAAUAUUAUCAAUAUAUUUAUUAUUCUUAUGUACAAUUGGCUAAAAGUAUCUAAUAAUUAUAAUGUAUAAAAACUAGUUACAUCUGAGAGGUAACAGUAAUAAAAUAUUAUUUGAAUUCUUUCAUUACAAGGGCAAGUUGAAGUUGUGGAAAUAACCGACUGCUGAAGAGACUCCGUUGUGGGUUCAAAUCUCAAUAUUGUGAUUCCUGGCUGGGUAAUCUUGGGCCUUAAUUUUUACAUUUGAACAUUGGAAAUCACAUUGCAAGGAGAGAACAGACUUGUUUGUCCAGAACAAACACACAGAGCCGAGAGAUCAGGAAACGGUGGGACCAGGGAGCCAGACUCUGCUUUGCUUAACAUGAUUGGAAGGAGUGACUCCAACAGCCAGUCACCACGAGGCGUCUCAGUGUCUGGGGAGAAUUCGUGUGAACUGUCAGCUGAAAGCAUUGACAGCUUCCCAUUAGUAAUGAAUUAUGGAAAUAAUUUUAUUAAUUUCUUCACCUCAAUCAGUACAUGUUAGUGAAAGUUGCUCAUCCAAACAUCAAAGAACCAUUGCAUUUUAACCUUUUAGUCUUUUACCGUGUAACCAGGAACAGCAAAGAAAUAAAUUAGUGUAGCAUUCCUUUAAAAAAAAUGCCUGGAGAUAAGGAGUGGACAUAAUUUUUUCUGUUUUUAAUUUAAUAGCAGGUUUAUGGUUUUAUGCAAAACCAUUCACAUUACAUUUGACCCUCUGGGAGCUGCUUUUUUUUCUGUGGAUAUAAUUUUGAGUCUUUAAUAAUCCGUUGUUAAACCCAGUCUGAGUUUGAUUAAUGAAUUGUGAUGAACCGGUGCAUUAAUUUGCAGGUUUGGUCUAAUGCCCUAAAAGGCUGCUUUGUUGCAGGUUAUUAAUGCUCAGCUCUUCAAGAGGAGCCAUGGGGUGGCGACAGUGUGUCCCGUAAUGAACAAGCUACACAUUUGAGCAGUCCCAGUGAUAGAGCUGCAGCUCUAGAAGUCACCAUGGAGCUAUGUUAUUGAAAGAAAGAAAAUCCUGAUUUAGCUUAAUGCCCUAAACAGGGGGCCACAGACCUCCAGCUCCACAGGUCUCCGGAUGGAAUUCAGGGGGAAUCUGUGAAUUUUGAUAGGAAAAAAAUCUUUUAUUAACCUCUAACUGAAAUUUAACAUCAUUCAAUUAUGAAUGUAGGUGACAACCAUAGUAUUCUUAGCCGUGUCUGUGACUUUGUCAUCUCUGGAAAUCAUAGAUAUUUCCGUAACACGUUAUAGAGGUGCAAGUACCUCACCAUGUCAUUUGUAUUUGUCGCUACCACAGAAUUAUAGUAAAUAUGAGGACAGCUGCCUGACUUAUUUAAUGUAAUAAAGAAGUACAUAUAUUA
Molecule: long non-coding RNA, 4803 nt
Organism: Sapajus apella (tufted capuchin)
Lineage: Eukaryota; Metazoa; Chordata; Mammalia; Primates; Cebidae
Exons: 2
Source: RefSeq, a predicted model, not a curated record